Molecule: RNA transcript, 1208 nt
Organism: Condylostylus longicornis
Lineage: Eukaryota; Metazoa; Arthropoda; Insecta; Diptera; Dolichopodidae
Gene: Sod3
Gene name: extracellular superoxide dismutase [Cu-Zn]
Exons: 6
Source: RefSeq, a predicted model, not a curated record
UUAAUUGAAAAUCAAAACAUGUUUUAGUCGAAAGUGAACUUUUCAUGAGAAAAGUCGGUUAUUGGCAGUACUUAAGAUUAUUUUGACAAAGAAAUCUCUAUUUGAUCUAAAAUAUUAUGUUUGCUUUAUUAUUAGGAAUUUUAGCCUUCAGCGCUAUAGAAGUACAUGCUGAGAAUAAACCAUUUGUUGCAAUUGCUGUUGUAGAAGGUACCGAAGGUGCCGUUAAAGGAAAUAUUACAUUUACACAAGCUGGUUGUGGUGAAAAUGUUCAUGUUCAUAUUUUAGUACAUGGUUUAUCAGAUGGACCUCACGGUUUUCAUAUUCAUGAAAAAGGUGAUAUUACAAAUGGUUGUUUGAGUAUGGGUGGACAUUAUAAUCCAGAUAAGAUGGAUCACGGUGCACCAACCGAUGAAAUUCGCCAUGUGGGUGAUUUAGGAAAUAUAAUAUCACAAAAUAGUGUUGUCGAUACUGUAAUAACAGAUCAUUUAAUAACUUUAACUGGACCAAGAUCAAUUGUUGGUAGAGGUGUUGUCAUUCAUACCGGUGAAGAUGAUUUAGGCAGGACAUUGCAUCCAGAUUCAAAAAAAACUGGUAAUGCUGGAGGACGUGCUGCUUGUGGAAUUAUUGGAAUCAAAAUCAGGCCUAGAACUUUUUAAAACCUAAAUAUAUUUUGAAAGGCAAAUGUAACCAAAAUACCAAACGUAUAAUUUUUUAACAAAGCCAAGAAAAAGAUUUUAUCGCAUAAAGCUAAUUUGACUAAAGGUAACACCAUCAGAUACAAAUUGGCCCUGUACAUCGGGUAGUAAUUUCAUUCAUCGAACCAAUGUUCUUCAAGCUCUAAUCCUGCCAUUUAUUUUUGUAAUUUUAAGUAAUACGUUUUAGAUUUAGUUCUUAUUCAAAAUCGAUUAAAUUGUCUUCGAAUAUUUACGAAAAAAAUAUGUUAAAUAAUUUGUAUAUAAUUAUAAAAACUAUUUAUUAAAUUAAUAAAAAUUAUUUAAGUGUAAUAUUCAUAAUAUAAAAAUUAGUUUGUAACAACACUUAAAACGUAUUUCAUGAUGUUCACAAUUUAAUGAAUUUUGUAGUAAAAUUAUUGCAAGUACUCGUAUUUAUUUCAAUUUAUAACCUUAAAAAUGUAAUGUAAAAUAUAUAAAUAUACAAUUUUUUUGUCGCAUAAUUUGGAUUAAGUUUUUUGAACAAAAAUUUUUGCU